CUGUCUCUCGGGACAGUUGGCUUUUGUUACCCUCAUUCUCUGUUUUUGUGUACCGCUGUUUGUUUCCUUGGUGGGCUUGCCCGCCAUUGGAAUCCCCUUACAAACCCUUUGCAGUUGCAAUCAACGUCUGAUAAAUCAAUAGUUACAACUUUUAACAAUGGAUCUCUUGGUUCUGGCAUCGAUGAAGAACGCAGCGAAAUGCGAUAAGUAGUGUGAAUUGCAGAAUUCAGUGAAUCAUCGAAUCUUUGAACGCACAUUGCGCCCCUUGGUAUUCCAGGGGGCAUGCCUGUUCGAGCGUCAUUUGUACCCUCAAGCUAUGCUUGGUGUUGGGUGAUUGUCUGGCCUUUGUGCCUAGACUCGCCUCAAAGUAAUUGGCAGCCAAUGUUGAAGUAGGAGCACGCAGCACAUUUUGCGAGCGAGUACCCAAACUACGGCGCCCAUAAGCACUUCUCACUUUUGACCUCGGAUCAGGUAGGGAUACCCGCUGAACUUAAGCAUAUCAAUAA
This 506-nucleotide ribosomal RNA is filed under the name uncultured fungus. RNAcentral's name for it is "eukaryotic LSU rRNA". The stretch from base 147 to 300 matches the Rfam family "5.8S ribosomal RNA". Lineage: Eukaryota; Fungi. The record is from RNAcentral.